RNAcentral lists this ribosomal RNA (468 nucleotides) under uncultured bacterium. RNAcentral describes it as "partial 16S ribosomal RNA". It matches the Rfam family "Bacterial small subunit ribosomal RNA", at positions 28 to 507 of the family's 1533-position model. The record is from RNAcentral.
GACGAACGCUGGCGGCGUGCUUAACACAUGCAAGUCGAACGGAAAGGCCCUGCUUUUGUGGGGUGCUCGAGUUGCGAACGGGUGAGUAACACGUGAGUAACCUGCCCUUGACUUUGGGAUAACUUCAGGAAACUGGGGCUAAUACCGGGUAGGAGCUCCUGCUGCAUGGUGGGGGUUGGAAAGUUUCGGCGGUUGGGUAUGGACUCGCGGCUUAUCAGCUUGUUGGUGGGGUAGGGGCUUACCAAGGCUUUGCCGGGUAGCCGGCCUGAGAGGGUGACCGGCCACAUUGGGACUGAGAUACGGCCCAGACUCCUACGGGAGGCAGGAGUGGGGAAGAUUGCACAAUGGGCGGAGGCCUGAUGCAGCAACGCCGCGUGCGGGAUGACGGCCUUCGGGUUGUAAACCGCUUUUGUCUGUGACGAAGCGUGAGUGACGGUAAUGGGUAAAGAAGCACCGGCUAACUACGUG